This is a long non-coding RNA of Sinocyclocheilus rhinocerous, 215 nucleotides long. RefSeq lists it as uncharacterized. The transcript has 3 exons. NCBI's taxonomy places the organism in Eukaryota, Metazoa, Chordata, Actinopteri, Cypriniformes, Cyprinidae. The record is from RefSeq and is a predicted model, not a curated record.
CCGCCUCCUCCCUCCCGCUGUAACCCCCUCAGCUCUCUCAUUGCCAUUAUGAGGAAAUCCUCCAAGGGAGGUAAAGGAACCCCCAAACUAGAGCAAGCCCCAGUGAAUGAAGCAGUGGACGAAGUCAAAGUCAAAGCUGUCAAUGAAAUGAUGGAGAGAAUCAAACACGGCGUGGUUCUCAGGCCUGUGAAGAGUCAGGACACUAAGGUGAGGUU